AAAAUAUGAAUUUAUGGGGAAAUAAGUAAAAUAGGAUCGCGAAUAUCUAUUAAAAUGCGAUAAUUAGUUCUCUUUCAAUUUAAGACAGAAAAAAAAUCACCGUGAUACUACGAAAAUGUUAUUCUUAAAUCGUACAUAUAUAAAAACAUAAAUUAAUCGUUUGUCCGUGAAGAUUGGGCCAAACAUAAGGGCCGAAAUGCACCGAAUACAUAUUUCAGUGAACAUUAAGUUCAUUAUAUGGACCAAAAAUAAACAUUAACAAACGGCUGUCAAAUUAGUUAUAUAGAUAGAGCACGAAAUAAGGAACAAGUGUCGUGCCGAUUUAAUGCGCCUCUUGUUGCACAAAUACAUCUUUAAUGUUAUAGUAGUAUGAAAAGAGCCAUUUAUAAGGACCCUUCAGUUCCAGAAUUCCUCGCCCGUCCAAUUCCUCGCGGUAUGUUCGAAAAACAAAAACAAAUUACAUGGGCCUCGUUCAGCGAAGUUCGAAACAAAAUAGCCGAAACAAAUUCUACCUACGCUCGGCUACUGCCGAGGGCUUCACGAAGUUCGUUCUUCAUACCCUUCAGUUCCAGAAUUCCUCGCCCGUCCAAUUCCUCGCGGUAUGUUCGAAAAACAAAAACAAAUUACAUGGGCCUCGUUCAGCGAAGUUCGAAACAAAAUAGCCGAAACAAAUUCUACCUACGCUCGGCUACUGCCGAGGGCUUCACGAAGUUCGUUCUUCAUAUUUGUUAUUGUUUUCGAUCUACGUUCGGAGUAGCGGUUGCGAGAAUUCGUAAAUUAGAGAGAGAUGGAGAUGGAAGGAAGGGAGGAAAGAAAAUUGGUGUCAAAAACAAAGAGUAUUGCACCGACGUGAGAAUGACCUUUUUAAAAUAAGUAGAGUUAUUUAAAAAUAUUUAAGAUUAUAUUUAAUUAAUUUUUACGUAUAAAAUCGUGUGGGAUAUGAGCACGUAAGAAAAUGUGCUUUAGACAUGGCCGAAAUGUUCAUGUUUGAUUAUUGGCCCUUUGUGAAUCUAAUUGCAAGGCAUUGCCUUGUCGGCUAUACCCUGACACGCGCGAGAAUUUUCGGUCUUCGGUUUUGUCUUCUAAUUCUCUUUGCAUUUAGAGUUGACUGCUGUUGCAUUCAGAUGUGUUUUGCGUAUAGUUGCGUAAAAAUGAAAUAUUAUAAGGUAAGUGGAACUUAUUUGCAUUCAAUUAUUAAUUUUAAUUGCAGAAUUGACGAUUAAAAUGGAUGCGACUUCAACCUAGACGGUGUGAAUGGGAUUCAGUACGGAUUUACAAAGUUUUUUUAUCCAGUUUAAGUUGAUAAAACAAGUUUCUUAAAGGACCCAGCAGCCGGCAAAGGAGACUCGUGACACGCACUUAUGUACAUACAUAUGUACAUAUGUAUGUACAUAUGUACAUAUGUAUACAUGUUUAAUUUUGGAGAACAAUUUAAUGCUACCAAAAAAGUGAAGAUAAAUAAAAACAUGCAAUCCAUAAAUAAAUAAGGAAUAAAUUA
This is a long non-coding RNA of Drosophila kikkawai, 1498 nucleotides long. RefSeq lists it as uncharacterized. The record is from RefSeq and is a predicted model, not a curated record. NCBI's taxonomy places the organism in Eukaryota, Metazoa, Arthropoda, Insecta, Diptera, Drosophilidae.